CCAGCAGCCGCGGUAAUUCCAGCUCCAAUAGCGUAUAUUAAAGUUGUUGCGGUUAAAAAGCUCGUAGUUGGAUUUUGGGUUCACUUCCGGCGGGCCGGUGAAAGCCGCGAACUGCUAGAAUGGACCUUCUGUCUGGAAGGCGGUCGCUUCCUAUUCGCUUAGUGGCGGCCGCAGUCUAGGACUUUUACUUUGAACAAAUUGUAGUGUUUAAAGCAGGCAAACGUCUUGAACACAUUAGCAUGGAAUAACCGAAUAGGGCUUUGGCUCUAUUUUGUUGGUUUUAAGGGCCGAAGUAAUGAUUAAUAGGGACAGUUGGGGGCAUUCGUAUUUAAUUGUCAGAGGUGAAAUUCUUAGAUUUAUGAAAGACGAACUUCUGCGAAAGCAUUUGCCAAGGAUGUUUUCAUUAAUCAAG
This 412-nucleotide ribosomal RNA is filed under the name uncultured eukaryote. Its description in RNAcentral is "SSU rRNA". It matches the Rfam family "Eukaryotic small subunit ribosomal RNA", at positions 567 to 981 of the family's 1831-position model. The record is from RNAcentral.